This is a long non-coding RNA of Suncus etruscus (white-toothed pygmy shrew), 610 nucleotides long. RefSeq lists it as uncharacterized. The record is from RefSeq and is a predicted model, not a curated record. The transcript is spliced from 2 exons. NCBI's taxonomy places the organism in Eukaryota, Metazoa, Chordata, Mammalia, Eulipotyphla, Soricidae.
CUGGCGCACAGCACGGCCGCCCCGAUGUCGAAGUACAGCUGAGACUCACUUCGGAGGCCAAGAAACUGAUGGAAGCUGCAGACUCACGCUGCUGAUUUGUAACAGCACAGCCAGACCCCCAAACCCAAGUCCGCUCUGCUCUAACCAUGGAGACACAGAGCCCCCAGACAUGUCCUACUCUGUGCCACAGAACAUCCCUUCCAGAUGUCAUGGUCAGGAGCUGGAGCAAUAGCACAGUGGGGAGGACAUUCACUCUGCAUCAGCUGACCUGGGUUCGAUAUCUGGCAUCCCAAAUGGCCCUCCAAGCCUGCCAGGAGUGAUUCCUGAGCAGAGUUAGGAGUAACCCAAAUACCACUGGUCACAGCCCCAGAAAAAGCAAACAAACAGAAGUCAUGAUCAGAUCAGAGCAACAAGACAGUAGGUAGAGUGCUUGCCCCGCAUGUGGCUAACUAACCUGGGUUGGACCCCUGGUCCCCCAGUACUACGACACAUGAUUUCUGGGUGCAGAGCCAGGAGAAAGCCCUGAGCCCAGACAUGUGUGCCCCUUCACCCCCAGAAAAAGUCAUGAACUAUGAAUAGAUGUCUUUCUCAGAAAAGGAGCAGCAGGUAA